Molecule: ribosomal RNA, 530 nt
Filed under: uncultured bacterium
Lineage: Bacteria
Description: bacterial SSU rRNA
Rfam family: Bacterial small subunit ribosomal RNA
Source: RNAcentral
AGUAACACGUGAAUCAUCUACCUUCGAGUGGGGAAUAACUGAGAGAAAUCUUAGCUAAUACCGCAUAAUACCUACGGGUCAAAGCAGCAAUGCGCUUGAAGAGGAGUUCGCGGCAGGUUAGUUAGUUGGCGGGGUAAUGGCCCACCAAGACGAUGAUCUGUAUCCGGCCUGAGAGGGCGCAUGGACACACUGGAACUGAAACACGGUCCAGACUCCUACGGGAGGCAGCAGUGGGGAAUUUUGCGCAAUGGGGGAAACCCUGACGCAGCAACGCCGCGUGGAGGAUGAAGUCUCUUGGGACGUAAAACCCUUUCGACGGGGAAGAAAGGCCGCAAGGCUUUGACGGUACCCGUAGAAGAAGCCCCGGCUAACUCCGUGCCAGCAGCCGCGGUAAUACGGGGGGGGCAAGCGUUGUUCGGAAUUACUGGGCGUAAAGGGCGCGUAGGCGGUCUGCUAAGUUGGAUGUGAAAACUCUGGGCUUAACCCAGAGCCUGCAUUCAAAACUGACAGGCUAAGUUCUGGAGGGGAUA